GGAGUCGGCUUCCUCAGCUGCUGUCAGGCAGGCACUGCUGCCUGAACACUGCGUGUGCAUGUGCAGCAUCCUCACAGGGUCAUCCUCUCUCUAAAACUCCAUUGAACCAUUCCCCAACCAUUGCAAGCUGCCCACAGGCUUUCACCAUAACCCCUGAGACACAGCCAGCACAGGGCAGCUGGGGAUGACCUGAAAUUCAUGCUGAAGGCAGAGACACUUCUACAUUCAAAGCCUCCAAUUUCCACUACCAAGCUGGUCAGACCAUGAAGAAGUGGGAAAUGGCCUUUUAUCUUUCAAAGUAGUCACCAAAAAUGUUCCUGUGUUGCUUACAAGAAAGAAGAGGAUAAUCCAGUGUCAGCUAAAAAAGGACCCCUGAACAAGUUUAUUUCCAGGAUGGCUGGGUGCUCAGAGACCUGCACUGAGCUGACAGAUCCUGAAGUAUCUCUGGUGGCUGAAUGCCUGCAGGCUCUGGAAGCAAACCCUGGAGUAAGGAAAUUCUUGCUGCAGUCAUCUGCCCAAACUGUGCCAGAAGGAGCCAGUGCUCAAGGACAGCUGCUGGAGUGCAGCUGGCAUCCCAGGAUGGGAGCUCCUGGUGAGGAACAGGAGCAGGUCCGAUACUGGAGAUACAGUGGGCUGUGACAAAAUGGAACAGCUGUCUGUGGACUUCACUGUGUCAGACACCACCAUUUUACAGUGAUCCCUGUCCAAUGGAGAACCUUUGGGAGGAGUUUCUCUGCUACAGGCCAAUGUUUGUCACCUUUCAUUUGCAAAUAUCAAGGUAAGGAACAAAGCAAAUGCAUGAAUAUUUGUGUUCAAGCCUGUUUUCUCCUUUGAUAAUUUGAUUAUGAUUAUGUGUUUGCUGUACAGCUCUGGGAUUCCCUGCUGGACUCUGCCCCAAGCACUGGCCAGGGGCCCACUGGCUCCAAACCAGUUCUCUGCAUAGAAGGGUUUGCUCCUGGCUCCUUCACACGGAGAACUCAGUUUAGAUUGCCUGAAUCCACCAAUAAAACUUGGAUUCACCGGACA
Molecule: long non-coding RNA, 1026 nt
Filed under: Junco hyemalis (dark-eyed junco)
Lineage: Eukaryota; Metazoa; Chordata; Aves; Passeriformes; Passerellidae
Description: lncRNA (ENSJHYG00000004796.1)
Source: RNAcentral